Molecule: non-coding RNA, 27 nt
Filed under: Rattus norvegicus (Norway rat)
Lineage: Eukaryota; Metazoa; Chordata; Mammalia; Rodentia; Muridae
Source: RNAcentral
UGUAUUGUGCCUUAUCCAUUUCUGAAC